UUCAAAAUUGUCUUAAAAGAUUUAAUUCUACUUAAUUUUGUGCGGUAUACAUGCAUCUCCAAGAGCAAGCACUUAAGACCUUGUUCUCUGAGAAAGCAACACUCAACAGCAGGUAAGCAAACUCAAAAUUGGUAGAUUUUGCUUUCCACUUGCUUCCCAAGUGGUUACCGAUACUGGUGUUGUAUUUGCGGAUGUGUGCACAGAAUUGUGGGAAGAGUAUCUGCUCCCAACCUGUCACUCAGCACAUCCUUCAGUCUUCGCGUCUUUAUGUUCUGUUCAUCACAGCAAAGUGUGUUCGGUGGGACACUGCUUCUGUAGGCUAGGGAAGAAAGAUCCCAGGAAAGACAAUGGUAACCGAAGGUAAACUGUAUAGGAAGUGCUAGGUUGACUAACGUUCAACUGGCUCUUUAAUUGUAGGGUCACUCAGAGCCUUUACUGUAUCAAAGUAGAAUGAAACUAUCAAACAGGGAAGCCACAUAAAACUUAAAACACAAUGAGUAUCUGAGGGUUGCCCAAAUGUAUCUAUAUAAACUUUUUCUUCUAGAGCAUCUCAUAGGAUUUGGGAAUUUAGAGAAAUAAUCGCCAUAUUUUUCAGGACUCUUCAGGUGGCAAGUAAUGGACACCAAACAAUAGUUAUGGCAAAAAGAGGAAACCAUUUGCUCAGGUAAUGAAGUGGAAGGUGGGACCAGGACGGGGAUGGCCUUGGGCCACUGCAGGGACAAUAGUGCGCACUGUGCAGUGACCUGUGUGGGUGCCGUUCAACGUGCUUCCUGUGCGUUGAUUGUUCGAUCACCCCAGAGCCCUGGGAGUUACGCACUAUUGUUAUCUUCUUUCUACAGAAGUGGGAACUCAGGUUCAGAGGGGUUGUUUCCCAAGGUCACCCAAGCAGCCUGACUCAGCCCGCACUUGGAACCACUAUGCGUUCUGUGUCUCCAGGGACUUAAAUGCUGUCAGGGUUUAUUUUCUCUGUGUGACUCUCGUGUCCUUGGGUCUGUUUCAUGCUCUUCAAUGGAGUUUCCCCUUGAGAUUCCAGCCCUGGCUCCCAACGCUUAGUUUGCCCCCUCACCUCCUUCCCAGGAAAGGGCUCCUCCCACUUCAGGUUCUGUUUAAAACAUUUUGGAGAGAGGCUGUGAUUAGUCUUUGACCUGAGGUCACGUGACCAACCUUGAGAGGCAGGUGCGCAUUUAAUCAGCUCAGUUCACGUGUCACUGCAGUGGCUGGGAGAGGAGAGACUAAAGAUUAGCUGCAUCUACUGUAUCACCAGGUCUUAAUGGGUCACGGGAAGCAAGGAAAGAAAGAAGGUGUGUGUUCAGAGGAGGCGCUGGGCACUGAUAUUCCAAACUCUGACACACCCUGGCAUCUUUAGGGGUGAAUGGGAGGGGUGUGGAGAGCUGCUAGCAGGGCUCCUAGCACGGGAGUAGGUUGGAUUCAUCAUGGCUACGCUCUUAUUCAGGCUGCGGAAGCGAAAGACCUUCCUUUUACCAGCAGUGCUAAACUAAGCAGGUGGAAGAAGUAGCUAGGAAGUGCGCUUUGUGUAGAAGUCACAGAGUCAGAGCAAGAUGUGGCUCUUAGGGCAAGGUCUAAGCCUCAGUGGUCAGGCCAAGCCGGAUGCAAACAACACCAGGUCAGAAGUCCAGGGAAUGGGGCGGCCGGAUCCAAAAUUGUCAUAAGGCACAGCCGUGCUCAGAUGGAACGGGCUGGGAGCCACCAUCCAGAGGGCCGAUCUGAGUGAGAGGGCGCAGGCAGGAGUCCAAACAGGCAGGAGGUCCAGCAUGAAGCGAGGUCCGAGUGGACCCCCCGGGGCUGGAGGGCAGGAGCCCAGCUGGGUGAGGUCACGACCCAGUCCUCAGAUGUAGAACAGGAGACAGAAAACAAUGCCUUGGAUUCCAAACCCAGGGCCUGACUGCGGAGCCAAGUGAUGCCAGAGGGAAUUUCCUCCAGUUCCUAGAAGGGAAAGUCAACACAAACAACGCACUGAUUUACCUCAACCAGCUGUACCCACACGUGCUAAAGGUCAUCUCUGAUUAUGUUUGCAGGGACAGGCUGUCAGAUCCCAAACAGCGCCGUGCCGUGGAGCGCGGUGAUGUCAGCGGCUUCGGUUCUGAAGGGUGGUCUUCUUCAGACACGUAGGGCUGCAGAGGUCGUGUGACUUGCCAAACUUACAGAGAAAAUGCGAGAGCCAGAAAAGAAACCAAGUCCUCUGACUCCUGUGGUUUCUAGACCCAACCUGCUUUAAGACCCAGGACUUCUGAAUUAAGGGGAGGCCAUGUUUCUGGGAGGAAGGACCCUGCAGCAGCAUGGCAAAUGUAUAAGGUAACCAUUCCCCUGAUCCUUUCUCUGAGAGACUUAUGGCCAUUUGCUAAGAUAACCAGUCCAACACUUCAAGGGCUAUGGGACCUAGAGUUGACAUUGCUCUCUGGGGACCCAGAAUGUUUUCGAGGACCACAUUUAUCAUGGGGGCAGGUGGGACACCAGGUAAUAAAUGGAGUCCUGACUCUGGUCCACAGUUGGUCUGCUAGGUCUGUAGACACUGCAGGGAGAAAAGUCUUCAAAAUACUUUUCUGUAUACCAGGAACAACAAAAAGAAAAUAAAUACCAAGUUUUAAGAAGCCACAAACAGCCCAAAUUACAUAUUACAAGUUAUUCAACCUACCUUGAUGUGAAAGUUCAAAUUAGGUUCGGAUAUAUUGGCCAAAAACUCAAAGGAUGGCGUAAAAAUAUAUGUGUUUAUUCAUUUUUGUAAAAGACGUCUGCAGGCUUAUCACUAGGGACUGAGACCCCGGUUUUGCUACGCCACCACCCCUAGCAUGAGGGCUCGGUCCCCAAGGACAUUUCUAAUAUGACUGUUGCAGCUCCAGCCAUCAUGUAAAAUUCCCAGGAAGGUGGGAGAGAAAGGGCCAAGGGACUCCCUUUAAAGAGCCUUCCUAAAAUAUUUUUAACCAACAAAUUCCACUUCCCUCCGAUUAGCCAUCCUUAGCUUCACAUGGCCAUACUCAGGGUCAUGGGAGCCUAACCAGUACAUGUUUUUCACAGAGAGGAUUGUUGCCUUGGAUAAAAUGGGCUCUGUUACUAAGGUCAAAGGGGAGAAUGGUGCUGGAUGGACAACCAGUCCUCUU
Molecule: long non-coding RNA, 3116 nt
Organism: Phyllostomus discolor (pale spear-nosed bat)
Lineage: Eukaryota; Metazoa; Chordata; Mammalia; Chiroptera; Phyllostomidae
Exons: 3
Source: RefSeq, a predicted model, not a curated record